AUGAGCGAGCCGAAAGGCAAGCAUAAUAUCCAUAACACAGUGAACUGUUGGCUUCGGCCAAAUUUUUACAAACUUUGUGUAAUGAACGUAUAAUACUAUAAUCAAUA
Molecule: unclassified non-coding RNA, 107 nt
Filed under: uncultured Syzygospora
Lineage: Eukaryota; Fungi; Basidiomycota; Tremellomycetes; Tremellales; Syzygosporaceae
Description: sequence contains ITS1
Source: RNAcentral